AUACGGAGGAUGCGAGCGUUAUCCGGAUUUAUUGGGUUUAAAGGGUGCGUAGGCUGUUUUCCAAGUCAGCGGUGAAAUGCCGGGGCUCAACCCCGGAACUGCCAUUGAUACUGGGAGGCUUGAAUGCGGAUGCCGUGGGAGGAAUGAGUAGUGUAGCGGUGAAAUGCAUAGAUAUUACUCAGAACACCGAUUGCGAAGGCAGCUCACGAAUCCGCUAUUGACGCUGAGGCACGAAAGCGUGGGGAUCAAACAGGAUUAGAUACCCUGGUAGUCCACGCAGUAAACGAUGAUAACUAACUGCCGGCGAUAGAGUGUCGGUGGCCAAGCGAAAGCGAUAAGUUAUCCACCUGGGGAGUACGACCGCAAGGUUGAAACUCAAAGGAAUUGACGGGG
Molecule: ribosomal RNA, 393 nt
Filed under: uncultured bacterium
Lineage: Bacteria
Description: partial 16S ribosomal RNA
Rfam family: Bacterial small subunit ribosomal RNA
Source: RNAcentral